Molecule: ribosomal RNA, 500 nt
Filed under: uncultured bacterium
Lineage: Bacteria
Description: partial 16S ribosomal RNA
Rfam family: Bacterial small subunit ribosomal RNA
Source: RNAcentral
AUUGAACGCUGGCGGCAUGCCUUACACAUGCAAGUCGAACGGCAGCACGGAGCUUGCUCUGGUGGCGAGUGGCGAACGGGUGAGUAAUAUAUCGGAACGUACCCAAGAGUGGGGGAUAACGUAGCGAAAGUUACGCUAAUACCGCAUACGAUCUAAGGAUGAAAGCAGGGGAUCGCAAGACCUUGUGCUCCUGGAGCGGCCGAUAUCUGAUUAGCUAGUUGGUGAGGUAAAGGCUCACCAAGGCAUCGAUCAGUAGCUGGUCUGAGAGGACGACCAGACAAACUGGAACUGAGACACGGUCCAGACUCCUACGGGAGGCAGCAGUGGGGAAUUUUGGACAAUGGGGGCAACCCUGAUCCAGCAAUGCCGCGUGAGUGAAGAAGGCCUUCGGGUUGUAAAGCUCUUUUGUCAGGGAAGAAACGGUGAAGGCUAAUAUCCUUUGCUAAUGACGGUACCUGAAGAAUAAGCACCGGCUAACUACGUGCCAGCAGCCGCCGUAA